GAUCCUGGCUCAGAACGAACGCUGGCGGCAGGCCUAAGUCAUGCAAGUUGAACGGCUGUAGCAAUACAGCAGUAGCGGACGGGUGAGUAAUGUAUGGGAACGUAUCUUCUAGUGGGGAAUAUUCUCUGGAAACGAAGAGCAAUACCGCAUGAGUCCUACGGGAGAAAGUCGCAAGACGCUAGAUGAGCGGCCCAUAUUGGAUUAGCUAGUUGGUUAGGUAAUGGCUGACCAAGGCAACGAUCCAUAGCUGGUCUAAGAGGACGAUCAGCCACAUUGGGACUGAGACACGGCCCAGACUCCUACGGGAGGCAGCAGUCAGGAAUAUUGGACAAUGGGGGCAACCCUGAUCCAAGCCAUGCCGCGUGAGUGUUAAGGUCUUCGGAUUGUAAAGCUCUUUUGUGUGGGAAAAUGAUGAUGGUACCACAAGAACAAGCACCGGCUAACUUCGUGCCAGCCGCGGC
Molecule: ribosomal RNA, 461 nt
Filed under: uncultured bacterium
Lineage: Bacteria
Description: bacterial SSU rRNA
Rfam family: Bacterial small subunit ribosomal RNA
Source: RNAcentral